AAGUCGUAACAAGGUCUCCGUUGGUGAACCUGCGGUUGGAUCAUUAACAAAUUAUUUAGGCCCCUGGAUGCCCCAGAAGGGCGAAGGGGGGAAACCUAAACAUUUGUGUGCACUAUAUCUGUCCUUGGCAGUUCGAGUGUCCUGGGUUGCGUAACUGCCUCAGGUACCUACCGAUGCUUUAUCCUUGGGUAUUGCUGAAGUUGGGCUGCCGCCUUUUGAAUAAACCUUCUGUAUCUUUUUUUUGUCUGAAUUUGUUUGAUCUUUAUGAUUGAAUUUAAAUACAACUUUUGACAACGGAUCUCUUGGCUCUC
RNAcentral lists this unclassified non-coding RNA (311 nucleotides) under Rhizophlyctis rosea. RNAcentral describes it as "partial internal transcribed spacer region". Lineage: Eukaryota; Fungi; Chytridiomycota; Chytridiomycetes; Rhizophlyctidales; Rhizophlyctidaceae. The record is from RNAcentral.